Ochotona curzoniae (black-lipped pika) is the source of this 424-nucleotide non-coding RNA. The record is from the annotation of a RefSeq genome assembly. NCBI's taxonomy places the organism in Eukaryota, Metazoa, Chordata, Mammalia, Lagomorpha, Ochotonidae.
CAGCCUUUGCAGAAGUCAGUGCCAGUCAGGACACAGCAUGGACAUGAAGGCUCCUGUUCAGCUCCUGAGGCUCCUGCUGCUCUGGCUCCCAGGUGCCAGAUGUGCCAUGGUGACCCAGACUCCAUCUGUGGUGUCUGCACCUGUGGGAGGCACAGCCACCAUUAAUUGCCAGUCAAGUCAGAGUGUUGAUAGCAACAAUGCUCUAGCCUGGUAUCAGCAGAAACCAGGGCAACGUCCAAAGCGCCUGAUCUAUGCUGCAUCCAGUUUAGAUUCUGGGGUCCCCUCGAGGUUUAAGGGCAGUGGAUCUGGGACAUCAUUCACUCUCACCAUCAGCGGGGUGCAGGCUGACGAUGCAGGAACCUACUACUGUGCUGGGCAAUAUUAUACUAGUGGGAAUUACACUCACAGGGUGAUACAAGCCUGA